GCCCCAGUGGAGCAGUCAGGAGUGCUCGCCUGCCCGUCACGCAGGAGGCCGUCGGUUCAAGUCCGUCCUGGGGUG
RNAcentral lists this transfer RNA (75 nucleotides) under Planctomycetales bacterium. Its description in RNAcentral is "tRNA-Asp". It matches the Rfam family "tRNA". From Rfam's summary of the family: Transfer RNA (tRNA) molecules are approximately 80 nucleotides in length. Their secondary structure includes four short double-helical elements and three loops (D, anti-codon, and T loops). Lineage: Bacteria; Pseudomonadati; Planctomycetota; Planctomycetia; Planctomycetales. The record is from RNAcentral.